GUCGCCCAGCGCAUCCAGGUAUAGCACCCGACUCGGAACCGCGCGCUGCUUCUGCUCUCUGAAUUUCUCUUCUUGUCCCUGGCGACAAUAUUAAUCAGUACCCAACAUUACAAUCGUCGUCCCUCGCCGCCCUCACCCUGUGGAUAAGCUCUGCUACCGAAACUGUUAUUAUGGCGUUUGUUUCUUGUAAAUCUGUAGUAACUGCACACUUCCUACUAGAUUGCAAUUUCAGGCUCCAUAAUGUACAGUUUACAUUUUUAUUGAGAUUCAUGAUGAAAAAAUCAGGGAACUGUUCUUUUUUUUCCUCAAGCGACAUCAGCAAAACCUUGAAAAAAAAUCCCCUUAGGACUUUCAUUUCUUGGACUGCAAUGUCAGCAAUUCAUUAGUUCCUCUAUUAGUAUUUGCAAACUGCAGUAUUUAUGUUCUAUCUAUGUUGGUGCAUGGCUGGGGGCGGGGAGGCGGGGAGGGCGAGUUGUUGGUCGCCUCCCCGAGCUUCUGCUGCCGGCGUUCAUGGGGAGGUCCUGCAGGCGACUUCCUCGGCCGCCUCCCCGAGAUACUACUGGCGGCAACGUCCACGACCUCCUGCCGCUCUGGCCUGCCUGUGAAGGCCGCACCCACCCUCAAGAACCUCCGGCUGGGUGAGCUACUUCUUCCCCUCCUAGAUCAAUUCUUGCUAAAAAUCAUUGUCUUUCUUUUUACUGUUCGGCUGAUUGUGUGGGCAGUGGCUUGAGCAUGCAGAUGUGCGCUGGAUGGAAAAUCCCUUCGAGUAAAUCCAGACGUGUUGUGUAGGCAGUAGUUUGACUAUGUUGAUAUUUACUAGAGGGUUUAGUCACUUGGUUAAUCGGCUACUACAUAUCAAUUGAGAUUGCACGGCUACUACAUAUCAAUUUCCUAUUAGUGAUAGUUAUAAAUGUUCACCUUUUUUUUGUUCGCUAUAUAUGAAAUUAUCUGCUAUAUGCAAAUCAUAUAAGUGCAGAUUAUUGCAAGGUAUUAACGUGUUAAACUCUAUUGCAACAAACUGCAGCUGCACAUCUUAUUUUCUAUAUCAGUUGGAAUAUGCACACUUUCAGCUUUUAUCGUAUUGGGUCCAUGAACAUCAAUCUCUGCAAACUAAAAAGGAGAACUGCACAUUAUAGUUAGUGCAGGUUAUAUUAUAUGGGUAUUUGUUCAUACACGUGCACAGAUUGCUGUCCAGAAUCCAUGGCCAGGAGACCUUGAGGUCAGAGUGCAAGAAGUUGUAGCUUCAGUUCAGAUAGAUUAGCGGGUCUAUGAUGCUUUUCUACUUGCUAAUUGCUUGCAUACUAAUCUCUGGGACUAUAUAGUAUAACCAGACCAAUGAAAUAUCUGCUUUUCAGUUAUUCUUCUUUGCUAGAUUAUUGUAUUUAGUUGCCUGAAAUUUUCCAUCUAAUUUCUUAUUUCUUGUCAAGUCCUAUAACUUUGAGUUGGAAUCGGAAGCUGGUAGGCUGGAAAGCAUGUAUCAUUAGGUAAGCAAGAUCUGUCCUUUGGAGCAGCUGAAUUUUGGUGCCUUUACGUCACACGAGGAAUCACUCGGUUCGUGAUUCGCGCCGCCAUCCGGCAGGAGCAGGCACCCUCGAUGUAUGUCGUGCCGCCUCCGCCUCCUCCACGCCACAACAUCCGUUCUACCCCGCAUCGCAGCCGCUGGUUCGGAAGGAGUGGCCGGUGCCCGACGGGAGCAGCGCAGCCAAGGAUCGCAUGGCCUCCGCGCGUUGUGCGUUCCAGCGACCGGUCGGGCUCUGUCGUCCUGCACAUCUCGGAUGCGUUGUGCUCGGCUUGCUGGCCUACUCCGUCUCUUCGUUGUCACCUACGACGCCGGCCAGCAGACUAGCAGUCUGCCCUCCUCUGCUUUUUCUUCUUCAAAUACCAGCAGGUUCUCUCUCUCUCUCUCAAAGGAACAAAGAAUCACAUAUGUGUUUGUGCAGAUCCUUUUCUAUCUAUGGCUUACAAGGUACUUGAAGAAAAUCCUAGCUAAUAUUACUAUUGACAGGAAGUUGCAGCCGGUGGUGGUGUUCCUUGGCAAUGACGAGUGGAACAAAUGAUGGAUUCUUCAAGAAAAUCCUAAACUGUACUAGCUAAUGUAGCCAUGUUUUCCUGAUGGUUGUUGCUCUAUCUGCGCAAUUUUCCUACAAUGCUUGAUUCUGCUGCUCAUCAGGGUCCUUUACUUGGUAUAACUCUGCAUAUAUUUUAUAUAUAGCCUAAACUGUGUUUUUAUUUCUGCCAGGUUGUGUUGAUGUUGUAGAUAUUGCUGCAAGCGUUUGUCUGAUGGGUAGUUGCUUCCCCUCGCUGCACGACCACCGUGUGUUAAUUCUUCAGUACAUGGUUUUUUCCCAGGUCAUUCCCUACAUGUUUUGUUUCUAAUAACGAUAUACCUUAUGUUUUUUAACCAUUUCGUGCACAUUCCUUUUUUAUCUCUUAUUUUCUUAUUGGUUCUUAUGUUCUCUACAAAUCUUGCUUUUGCUAAAGAUGUUUUCCUGGUUAUUACAUGUUCAUUAGAUUUUUUAUUCCUUAGAUGUAUAGAGUUUGACAACAUGAUUUGGUAGCAUAUAAGGUUCGAUAUGUGUGUUAUAUAUGACUGAAAUGGCAGUAAAUGCAUCUCUGGCACCACUCUUUGGUGUUUGCUUCUGUUGUAUGUGUAGGACGACGAGAUACCAGAUCCUGCACUGGUAUAAGUUACAGUUGCGCACUACAAUGACCAUCUUGGGCUACUUAGAAAAGCUGUUGUAUCUCGCGAACACCACUACCUUCUUCGUGAACUUAGAUGGCAAUCUGGUCUUAAUCUACUUGAGGUGAGGACACUUCUCUAAAUAUCAUCACUUUCAGAUUGUUUUUUUUUGGCUUACAUAUCGGUUUAGACUUUAGAUAAGAUGUUCAUUUCUUGAAUGUUGCGGGUUAUUGUGCUCAUCUGCCUAGCAGGCAUUGAAUUUUGUCACAGACAAUGGUAGGUCUGAUCACAAGGUGCAAUAGUUUCAUUCUAUAUUCAUUUCCAGUUGCACAACAUGUGCUUGAUGAACAUUUCAAUUGUUAAGUUGUAAGUAGACACUAGAGAUAGGCUCCUGAAAUUCAUUAUAAGGAUUUUUUUUCAAUUUCUAGGUAUCAAUAGUGCAGAACUAGAAAUUCCUAGCAAACAUAUACCUUUUAAGAACAAAAGAGCGAAAAUAGAUGGCCAGAAAAAUGGAUAUUUAUUUUUAUAUUUUUGUUGUAAUCCGUCACUUUUGUGCAGACCAUUUUUAUCUACUUCUCUUCAUUCUCUUGGCAAUGUCCACUUUUUAUUUUUUAAUUUGAUGGUCUUUUAGUUCUGUAUAGUUUGCUACUGAAUUGUUUUAGAACCAAUCGCAUACAUCUGCUUCUACAUGAUUAAUGAUGUGGCAGCAGGAGAGGUGUUAAAUUUUUGAAACCGUCUUAUUUCCAUCUACAGAUUACUAUGUUUACCUUGCAAUAUAAAUAUUUGGUAUCUAAUCUAAGUUACAAAUUAUUUUCCUUCAUCAUUUCAGGCUAAAAAAAAGCCAAUUCUCUGUUCAUGGUAGAAGGGAUGCUUGAAUCAGAUGCUAGAUAGUUGCAGUUUUCUAAGGAAAAUGGUUCCUACUGGAAAAUGAAACUCUUGAGCUACAUGGAUAUAUCGUUUCUUAAGACUGAGUUUAGUAUUUGUUUUGUCCAGGAAGCUAAUUUGUUGCAUUAUCUUAUAGAAGGACAAAAGAACAAAAAUGAAGCGUAUCCAGUUGCUUGCAAAUAUUUUAGCAUAAUGGAUGUUAUUUAACUCAGUGAGUAUCAGCGGCGAAUAUCUUCAAGCUAUCAUUGUUGGUUCUUAUGUUGUGUUGUAUGGUCAGUUUCCUUGACUUUCCCCUCUUAUAUGUACACUAUUUUCCCUUCGAAAAUUCUUGAGUCUACCAUAGUUCUAUCUGCAUUUCAUAUUGGGUACGCUCCCUAUUGUAUGUUGUUUCUAAAUUCUAUAUUGCAGAACCAGAGACAUGGAGAUGUAAACUAUGUUCACUGAUUAUUUUUCCUAUCUACGUCGUAAGCCUUUCUUCAUAUUUCUAAUAUUCCUAUCCAAUUCUAUUACCUUGUCUGGUAUAAUUUCUAUACUCUGCAUUGGGUAACAAACUUUCCUUGGUGUUCUGGACCUGCAUAGAUAAAUACUUUUUGGUAUAGCUCAAAACUCUGAAAAAUGAAUCCAAUGCCAUUUCAGGAAGUACUAAAAAAAUUGUUGUUAGGAACACCCUCUUAGGUUUAUACACAAUAAGUACAAUCAUGUUUUGUGAAACCGCCUUUACACUGAGAUUUUUUCAGAACUGGUAUAAGUAUAUAUGUUCAAGACUAAAUGCAAUGAAGAUUUUUAGGUUAAUAAAAAAGACUUUUGCAUUUCAUGGUGACGCUGACAGGGAUCUCUUUCAAGGGCGGCUUAGCUAAUAUAUUUCAGUAUUAAGGUCACAUGUUUCAGCCAAAUAAUCUGCACGAAGAAGCUCCUGAAUUUCACUUUGAUGAAGGAAAGCUGGACCGCAUCACUUCUGUGGGCACGCAAGAACACAACUAAAUUGAGCAGUAACAGCUAGAGUUCACUCGCAGCAGCAACAACUAAUUAAGUUAAUAUAGGAAUCAUUCACUGGCCUAAUUUUUCAGAGUGUGCAUCGAGUAUGCACCGACACGAGUUCCACGGACCGUGCAUCAAGGCGCACCCUUAAAUAUAACCAGCUUACCAUGCUUUGGAUUUUGACGGUUUUCGACUAAUUGUAUCAUAUAGUCAAUUUAUAUCUCAAGUCUACAAAGAACGCAUUCAUUUAGCAAAAGUUUUUUUUUGCUUUACCUGAUUUUUUCAUAUUGCCUUGUAUUUUCUUUAUCUGCUAACACGUGGUAUUCAUAAUUCAUUUUCUUGCUUCUAAAAUUAAUAUUGCAUAUAUUCUAUUUUAGUCUUUUGAUCUGCAACAUAGUUAAUGGUUGAAUCCUAUGUUUAUCAUGUCUAGCUAUUAGCAUUGUAUCACACAAUCUGGUUCAACUCUUUCUAUUUACAUAUGUUCAACACUACCCCUGUUGGGUUUGUCAAUAGAUUGUUGUCGAGGCUGAGUGUGUGCCCUCGAGCACAUGUAGCAAGAAUAACUAGGGUACUUUUUGUCCUUCGAGCAUAGUUAGUAUACAUCAUCCGCAAGUAAGACCUCCGGUGCUUUCCUUCUGAUAGAUGGCAUCACCUAUUCAUUUAUUGAUAUCAUUUUGAGAACAUAUACUUAGCGAUUUUUUGGUCUCGGUAGGACACAAAAUCUAUAUCCUUUAUCAAACUCCUACAAAACUAAUUAUAUAUUUUCUAAUAAUAUAUCAGCUAAUGCUUGUUUAAAACUACCUACAUUUUUAUUUAUUCACCUAUGGAGGCAACUCUUGAGGCUUGGGUUUCUUCUUAUGCUAUAUCUAAGUGUAAAUAGUACUCUUGAUUUACAAAUACUUUCAUCUGAUUACAAUAUUAGUAUAACAUUUCCUUUGUUCUCCAACAUUUUUUUAUUAUGUGGUGUUCUUAAUGUUGCUCUAAUUAUAAUAUUUAUUUGCUUUGUUGAGACUAAUGGAGGCCGUCAAGAUGGAGCCUCUAGAGCUCCAGACUGUCGAGAUCCUGCCCGGUGUCAUAGUAGAAGCUAUGUUGCAGUGCACCUUUCGGCGGUGCAACUAACUAUUAGAAUUAGGUUUUUUUUGUGUGUAGUGGCUUUCAAAGACUGAUUUGCGGCGAGCUUAUUUAGAUGUUACUUUUGUUAUUAUUAGCUUUAUUUUAUCUGUCUCUAAAAAAUCAUAAGAGUGUUAAUAUAUUUUGAUAUUUCCCUCAUUGUGUAUAAGCAUUGUUGUUCCAUUC
This is a long non-coding RNA of Lolium rigidum, 5839 nucleotides long. RefSeq lists it as uncharacterized. The record is from RefSeq and is a predicted model, not a curated record. Lineage: Eukaryota; Viridiplantae; Streptophyta; Magnoliopsida; Poales; Poaceae. The transcript has 2 exons.